RNA transcript from Mercenaria mercenaria, 1299 nucleotides. RefSeq lists it as uncharacterized. NCBI's taxonomy places the organism in Eukaryota, Metazoa, Mollusca, Bivalvia, Venerida, Veneridae. The record is from RefSeq and is a predicted model, not a curated record. The transcript is spliced from 2 exons.
UUGACAACAUUUGGUGUGUAUUGGGGACACUAUAAAUCUUAUUCCGGACUUUUGUAGUGGCUUUAAAUAUGUUACUUAAAUCGGAUACAUGAGACAUUCUGUUAUUUAGGAAUAUCAAGAUGGAUUCAGAUUUUAAAUCUAAAUGUAAAAAUGGCUGUGUUCUUUCAUGCGUGUGUACUGUUGUUACAGGUGUUGUAAUGAUAUAUUACUUUUAUCAAAGUAUUUCUCAGACUAAAUAUUCAUCGGACAUAAUGGAACCACCUUUGCCAAGUUUCAGACAUGAAAAACUACAAUCGGAUGCAAACAAUACCAUGGAAUGUCAAGUACAGAAGUUUCAUUGCCAUAUUUAGAAAAUUAAACUGUAGUCUACAUCGUAAAAUUCGUGUUCCGUGAGCGUUCCGAAUGUUAUACUACAGUAUGGGCAUCCACGAACAGCAACAACGCUACAGUUCAAUAUAUUGUGUUUGAGUAUGGCACUGCUACACGAAGAUGUGAAAAACUCUGUAGGAUGCUAUUACAACAAGAAGAAAUCCAAGAAAUAUAUCGUUAUAAAAACGCAUGCAAUUGCAAAGUUUCUGACUAAGAUACCGUCUCAUUCUUGGAUUUUCAUGACUUCAAAGGUUAAAUUUUCGCCUAAGGAAAAGCAGCGGUAUAGCUUAACUAGACAAAAUAUAAAAGUAAUAAGAGCAAAAAAUAUAACGAUUAAAUAUGUUGCUGAUAUCAAUUUUGUUUCCAAACGAGGUCAUUCGGUUGUUUAUGAAUACCAGCCUAUAUUUGGGAUAUCAGAUGCAAAAAUGCAGCAUAUGGCUGAAUAUUUCCGCUACUGGGAUAUACUUCGGUUAUGCUGUGGAAAACAGAUGUCUGCAGAUUGGCGAAAUCACCUGUCACUAAAUCCAAACUAUAAAAGACAUCAUGUCCAUAAUAGCUCAAUACAUUCUGUAUGCGAAAGAUACAAUAUAAGUCAAGUCGAAGUACAGUUCUUAAAUACGUAUGCCUUCAAGACGUUUGCUCAUAUAGAUUCACUUCGUGACGUCAUUGGGAAGCCAUCAACAGUUGACGGUAAACUAGACGGAAGCUAUUGUGAACGUUGUAACGCAAAUAUUACUCAUCGAAGUCUUAAAUUUAAUCAGAAAUGCGCCUAAAAAGUGUAUAUUUUGAAAUCAUUUUUAUCUAUCGAUACAUCUAUUUUGUGAUAUCCUUAACUCUAUUUUACUAUUUCUCGAUAUCUUUUUGUAACAUCAAAAAUAAUUGAUUUAUAUCAUAGAAUAAAAUCAAAGUUAUUAUCAUAUUUAAUUCAUG